RNAcentral lists this ribosomal RNA (497 nucleotides) under uncultured bacterium. RNAcentral describes it as "partial 16S ribosomal RNA". It matches the Rfam family "Bacterial small subunit ribosomal RNA", at positions 29 to 523 of the family's 1533-position model. The record is from RNAcentral.
AGUGAACGCUGGCGGCAUGCCUUACACAUGCAAGUCGAACGGUAACAGGUCUUCGGAUGCUGACGAGUGGCGAACGGGUGAGCAAUACAUCGGAACGUGCCUAGUAGUGGGGGAUAACUACUCGAAAGAGUGGCUAAUACCGCAUGAGAUCUACGGAUGAAAGCAGGGGAUCGCAAGACCUUGUGCUACUAGAGCGGCCGAUGGCAGAUUAGGUAGUUGGUGGGAUAAAAGCUUACCAAGCCGACGAUCUGUAGCUGGUCUGAGAGGACGAUCAGCCACACUGGGACUGAGGCACGGCCCAGACUCCUACGGGAGGGAGCAGUGGGGAAUUUUGGACAAUGGGCGAAAGCCUGAUCCAGCAAUGCCGCGUGCAGGAUGAAGGCCUUCGGGUUGUAAACUGCUUUUGUACGGAACGAAAAGCCCGGGUUAAUACCCUGGGGUCAUGACGGUACCGUAAGAAUAAGCACCGGCUAACUACGUGCCAGCCGCCGCGGUAA